UACGGAGAUGGCAAGCGUUGUUCGGAUUUACUGGGCAUAAAGCGCACGUAGGCGGAGUCAUAAGUCGGUUGUGAAAUCCCGGGGCUCAACCCCGGAACAGCGGCCGAUACUGUGAUUCUGGAGCACGAAAGGGGAGAGUGGAACUUCUGGUGGAGCGGUGAAAUGCGUAGAUAUCAGAAGGAACACCGGUGGCGAAAGCGACUCUCUGGUUCGUUGCUGACGCUGAGGUGCGAAAGCUAGGGGAGCAAACGGGAUUAGAUACCCCGGUAGUCCUAGCCGUAAACGAUGGGCACUAAGUAGGGGGGGUUCUGACGCCUUCCCUGCCGGAGCUAAUGUAUUAAGUGCCCCGCCUGGGGAGUAUGCUCGCAAGGGUA
RNAcentral lists this ribosomal RNA (374 nucleotides) under uncultured bacterium. RNAcentral describes it as "bacterial SSU rRNA". It matches the Rfam family "Bacterial small subunit ribosomal RNA", at positions 524 to 896 of the family's 1533-position model. The record is from RNAcentral.